AGGACUCCAUGGCAUCAACACGUAGUUUCCAUGGCAAGCUUACUCUGCUCAAAUUAUGUUUGUUACAUAGAAGAAACAUGCAUAGAAAAAAAAGUCCACAACAGAUAACUAAAACAUUGGUUGUUAUCAACUGUGAUCACCAACCUCACAACGAUGCUAUGAAUUCUCAUACUCAGUGUAAUAUAUCGCAUCUGACGAAAAGUGGCUUUGGACUUCUUCCAGCCUACCACUUCAUCAUGUACUACCUAUUCAAAAUAGCAAGAGUGUAUAGUAAGAAACUGGACAAGAACCAUCCCCUGGAAGCUCCUGUUCUACCCCAGCAAGAACAGACACAUCUUCUGCGACCGUACGUAGGUACGAAAGCGCCGGCAAAGCACACCAAGGCACCAGGCUUGCAAAACAGGUAUAACGGUCGAAAUAAGAGCAGACAUCCCGCUCACACGCAACCACCAAAUAUAAGCAUAAAACGGAAGUCACACGAGACUGAAAAAUAAGACGACCCCUGGAUAGAUCCGGAACAGAGAGACGGUCAGUCAAUCAACAACCAUGACAACAUGCACAAAAAGAUAAAUAUAUCUUGAGCCACAGAUAACGCACAUGCAUUGGAAAAGGAGAGCAAAUCUUGAGCAUCAGCAGCAGGUUGCAGAUGCAGAAACAGAACAGUUCUUCCAACCUACAGAAUGCACAUGGACAGAACCAUAAGAACAUAGUAGGCAUAAUAAUGUAGGCAUAGAGCGCAUCUAGUCCAUCAACCGCCAAAAAUACAUAUGGAAGUCCAUUUAGUAAACGCAGAGCAGCGUGAUGGCAUCGGAAUAAUUCUUUUUACCAAAGGAAAUAACAUUGCUCAUUAUAUUAAGACACUAUAUUCCCAAUUCCUCUGCCUCCUGAACUGGGACUGCACACAAUUAACAACAAUAUCUGACAUAGAGGUUGAUAAAGCUUAUUAUACUGUCUAGACUGUACUGUUUGAUUCCACACCCGCGACUAAGAUCAACUUCUUUAUUAAAAUGUUGCUUUCUCAGGUGGAUCAUCUAGAGCCUAAAGAGGAAAGUAUGCUGAAGGUCCCUAGUUAUAGCAGUCAUGUGCAGUUUGUUCUGUUGAAAUCCUUUGCCUAUCCUCUUGAAGAAGGGUUUGACGAGAUUACUGUCGCAACAACAAGAACUGAAACAAUGCUUGGCGAUAAAAACAUAGCCGUUCAUCCUGAGGAUAAAAGGUAUAAGCAUCACCAUGGAAAGCAUGGCAUUCACCCGUUCAAUGGCUGAAAACUCAAAAUAAUCCGCGAUGCUGUUAGUGGAACCCACUUUUGGUACUGAAGACGACAAGCAAGCGAUAUUAAACUUCUCUAUCCAUGAAGCAUAGCAACAUACACAUAAUAAUGGCUUGGGAUAAUGAAUAGAAAACCCCAGAAGCUAAAACAAAUAGUAGAAUUUCAUAUGGAAUACCAUAGGCAUCAAAUUGCAAUAUUCACCUUAAAUCCAAAAUGGGCAGCUGAAUUUAAGUACGAAACAAGAAGUGGAAACAGUGCCCAGCGUAGCUGAACUGAAGAAGGACCUCAUCUACAAUCCAAUAAUAAAUUCCUAACAUGACGGCAUGAAAGACCCCGCCACAAGAACUCACGUCUGCUGGGGGAGUGAUAAAGGAAAUAUAUCUGCAAAAAAAAGACUAACUGGGCAGCACCAAAUCCUGUUUCCAUGAAGCUAUAAAAACACAAGAACUCAUGUCUGCUGGUAGUGUUAUAAAGGAAAUAUGUGAAUAUGUACAUGUAAGGUUGCCUCAUUUCUGAAAACACAAAUCCACCCUAACUGAAAGCACAUGAAUAAAAUGCAGAUUCUCUCUUCUUUGAAGAUGUUACAUGACUCGGCAUCUUCCUUUAGGAAAGGACAAUAGUAGAGAAUCAAUAGUGCAAUCAAGAUCUGUAGGUAAACAAAGAAAGAAUUUUGGUCACCACAAACCUCAUUUAGCCUCGUUGUGAUCUCUUAUCUUCCUCAUGUUUACAUCAAUCACAAACAGGAGCAUCAAAAUGAGAUAACAAAGCUUAACAGGAGGGAGAAAAAUCAC
RNAcentral lists this long non-coding RNA (2058 nucleotides) under Triticum aestivum (bread wheat). RNAcentral describes it as "long non-coding RNA (TAES_LNC002323)". The record is from RNAcentral. Lineage: Eukaryota; Viridiplantae; Streptophyta; Magnoliopsida; Poales; Poaceae.